RNAcentral lists this ribosomal RNA (499 nucleotides) under uncultured bacterium. RNAcentral's name for it is "bacterial SSU rRNA". It matches the Rfam family "Bacterial small subunit ribosomal RNA", at positions 29 to 521 of the family's 1533-position model. The record is from RNAcentral.
AUUGAACGCUGGCGGCAUGCUUUACACAUGCAAGUCGAACGGCAGCGGGGGCUUCGGCCCGCCGGCGAGUGGCGAACGGGUGAGUAAUGCAUCGGAACGUGCCCAGUCGUGGGGGAUAACACAUCGAAAGAUGUGCUAAUACCGCAUACGUCCUGAGGGAGAAAGCGGGGGAUCUUCGGACCUCGCGCGAUUGGAGCGGCCGAUGUCGGAUUAGCUAGUUGGUGGGGUAAAAGCCCACCAAGGCGACGAUCCGUAGCGGGUCUGAGAGGAUGAUCCGCCACACUGGGACUGAGACACGGCCCAGACUCCUACGGGAGGCAGCAGUGGGGAAUUUUGGACAAUGGGGGCAACCCUGAUCCAGCCAUGCCGCGUGAGUGAAGAAGGCCUCGGUUGUAAGACUCUUUCGGUACGGAAGGAAAUACGCCGCCUCUAACACAGGCGGUGGAGUGACGGUACCGUAAGAAGAAGCACCGGCUAACUACGUGCCAGCAGCCGCGGU